This is a non-coding RNA of Maylandia zebra (zebra mbuna), 611 nucleotides long. Lineage: Eukaryota; Metazoa; Chordata; Actinopteri; Cichliformes; Cichlidae. The record is from RefSeq and is a predicted model, not a curated record.
UGGAUGUGCGCACGUGUUUGUGUGCAGCUUGUAGUGCAAACGUGCGUGCAGAAUUCAUGCAGACAUGUGUAACUGGUCGUUUUGAGGUAGAAAAGAGUGAUGCGCGGUCAAGCUGGUAGUUGAAAGUGUCAGUCAGAGUAGAAGAGCAUUGUGUAAAAAUGCAAGUAAUAACAAAAAAGUGCAAGUCAUUAAUCGCAUCACCCUGAAAAACCUGAGUAAGGAGUGCAGCUCCUGAUGAAAGGAGGAGCACUGAAAACCAGGAAAUGAUGUUUCUGGAACAGUCUGAUGACUGAAGCUGGAUGUUUGAAGUCUCAGUGAACUGCUUGUCUUUUCCCCACAGCUCCUCCCUCAGCGAUGUAUAUGGCUAUAUGUUCUGAACAAUGUGCUGAUGUCCGUAUCAGGCAAGUCGGCCCAGCUUUACUCGCACAGCCUGCCAGCUCUGUUUGAACAGAAAGGACAUCUGCACAAGAAACACAGCAGCCUGUCGCUCAGCACCAACCGCCUCACUGAGCGGAUCAGUCUCAGAAAGUUUACCAUAUCUGUAAAGAUUCCUGACACUAAAGGUUGUAGGAGGUGCAGUGUAGCAAGAAACCCAUACACAGAUAGCACAU